GACGAACGCUGGCGGCGUGCCUAAUACAUGCAAGUCGAGCGAAGUUUUUCUGGUGCUUGCACUAGAAAAACUUAGCGGCGAACGUGUGAGUAACACGUAAAGAACCUGCCUCAUAGACUGGGACAACUAUUGGAAACGAUAGCUAAUACCGGAUAACAGUGUUUCUCGCAUGAGAGAUAUUUAAAAGUUGGUUAUGCUAACACUAUGAGAUGUCUUUGCGGUGCAUUAGCUAGUUGGUGGGGUAAAGGCCCACCAAGGCGACGAUGCAUAGCCGACCUGAGAGGGUGAUCGGCCACACUGGGACUGAGACACGGCCCAGACUCCUACGGGAGGCAGCAGUAGGGAAUCUUCCGCAAUGGGCGAAAGCCUGACGGAGCAACGCCGCGUGAGUGAAGAAGGACUUCGGUUCGUAAAGCUCUGUUGUUAGGGAAGAAUGGAUAUGUAGUAACUAGACAUGUAAGAGACGGUACCUAACCAGAAAGCCACGGCUAACUACGUG
Molecule: ribosomal RNA, 499 nt
Filed under: uncultured bacterium
Lineage: Bacteria
Description: partial 16S ribosomal RNA
Rfam family: Bacterial small subunit ribosomal RNA
Source: RNAcentral